AGAGGGGUGCAAGCGUUAAUCGGAAUUACUGGGCGUAAAGCGCGCGUAGGUGGGAUAGUUUAGUUGGCUGUGAAAGACCCGGGGCUUAACCUGGGUUUGCCAGCCAAUACUGGCUGUCUAGAGUACAGUAGAGGGAAGUGGAAUUUCCGGUGUAGCGGUGAAAUGCGUAGAUAUCGGAAGGAACAUCAGUGGCGAAGGCGACUUCCUGGACUGAUACUGACACUGAGGUGCGAAAGCGUGGGGAGCGAACAGGAUUAGAUACCCUGGUAGUCCACGCCGUAAACGAUGAGAACUAGCCGUUGGAAGAGCAAUCUUUUAGUGGCGCAGCUAACGCAUUAAGUUCUCCGCCUGGGGAGUACGGCCGCAAGGUAA
RNAcentral lists this ribosomal RNA (372 nucleotides) under uncultured organism. Its description in RNAcentral is "partial 16S ribosomal RNA". It matches the Rfam family "Bacterial small subunit ribosomal RNA", at positions 526 to 896 of the family's 1533-position model. The record is from RNAcentral.